RNAcentral lists this ribosomal RNA (1996 nucleotides) under Triticum aestivum (bread wheat). Its description in RNAcentral is "partial small subunit ribosomal RNA". The record is from RNAcentral. Lineage: Eukaryota; Viridiplantae; Streptophyta; Magnoliopsida; Poales; Poaceae.
GUCCUCUCCGACCCCUCCCUGUUUUUCAACGCCGCACAAAAUUGCAGUAGCAGCAACCGAGGCCCCUGCUCCCUGCCUCCUCCUUGUCGCCUGUGACCCCGAGCACGCCGCCGCCCUGUUGACCGCCGUCGACCAGGCCAGACCUCCUCUCCUCCUUUCCUUAUCCUUCCCUGCCUCUACUCCCUCCUCUCACAUCUCCCUCUCUCCCUUUCCGUGCAACAGGAGCUAUGUCUCGAUGCCAUGGUCGUCGUCCCGCUUCUUUGAGACCACCCGCCUCCAGCACCCCGUCUGCCCCACCGCGUCGUGAUUCGGCCACCAGGAUCCUCCAGCGUCGUUGCCUCCGCCGUGGAUGCCAAGUCCACAAGCUCUGUCGCUGCAGGGAAUGAGGAGCACGCCUUCCCGAUGCAUGGACCUCACGCCCGGAUCCCGCCAUCCCCGGCGAGCUCCGCCUCCCGUUCCCAUCGCUCCGCCGUGCGCCAAGUCCCCUGCCGUCGCGACUCUGCUUCCACCCCUCUGUCACCGUUGCUCUACAUCCAUACGAGGAGACGACCAGGAGCCAAGCCCAGCGCCUGCGUUGACCGCACCCCCACCAUCUCCUUGUUCGAUCCAGAAAGGCCCAGCUCGCGUCCAGCACGCCAAGGCCCAGCGCCUCUACAACCUCCAGCCGGCCCAUAAGUCCUGGUGAGCAGCCCCCGCUCCUAUGCACUUUGGGCCGGUCAGAUUCGGCCCAGUGUAUAUUUUUUUCAGAUCUGUGAGUUUUCCUUUUUUUUUCAGAGAACCCAGUUUUGUAGAGAACCCCCUAGACUUCAUGCAUUUAAUAACUUCUCAAUCGUGCAUCAUUUGCAAAUAACUUAUAUAUGAAAAAUGCUUAUAAUUGCAUCUAGUUUCGUAAUAUGUCAUUUUCAUCCAUGGUUAAAAUGCUUAAAAUGCUAUUUGUUUAAAUUUGCUUAAAUAACUUGCUAAAAUGAUUUAUUUCAUAAUUAUUUAACCGUAACUCGGAAUUAAAUAACUUUAUAUGUAAAUGGGGUAGAAUUUUGCAUAGUUUAACAUGGUGGCAUCACUUUGCAUGUUUAACAACUAUAAAAUAUGGUUUAGGGCAGAAUAGUACCAAACCUAAUAUAUGCAUAUGAGGAUUUUCCGGAAUUGUUGUUCGUUGUUUCCGGCCUCAUUUAAACUUGACUAGAUAGGUAGUUUUACUUUGCUUCACCCUCUUGCCAUGUUUAACAACAUUUAAUAUUGUUGGGUACAUAAACAAGAUCGAGCUAAAUAAGUCAUGUGGUGUUUUGUCAAUAUGCACCCCGAUGCAUAUUGAGCUCCACUUAAUUUGUAGGGUUGUUUGUGCACUUUGCCAUGCCAUGCCUCAUCAAACCAGACAUGCAUCAUACUUGUUUGCGCAUCAUGCCAUGCUUAUGUGAUGAUUGUUUACUAUGUUGUUUGCUUUCUUUCCGGUGUACUUCUUCUCGGUAAUCCAUAAUGUUGCGUUUGUGAGGAUCCGUUGGCUACGUCCGUUUGUCUUCUUCAUGGACUCGUUCUUCUUCCUUGCGGGAUCUCAGUUUGUAGGUGCCGAUGAAAUCGCGCAGGUGACGCAACCGAGCUCAAGGAGGAGCUCGAUGAAGACCUUGCUCGUUAUGUUGUUCCGUUUUUCAGUUGAUCAGUAGUGGAGCCCAGUUGGGAUGAUCGAGGAUCUGUGUAGCUUUUGGGGUAGUCUUCUUUUAUUUUGGUUCCAUAGUCGGACCUUGUGUGUAUCUGGAUGAUGUAAUGCUUUAUUCAUGUAUUGUGUGAAGUGGCGAUUGUAAGCCAACUAUGUAUCUUUUUCCCUUAUGUAUUACAUGGGUUGUGUGAAGAUUACCUCACUUGCGACAUUGCUUACAAUGCGGUUAUGCCUCUAAGUCAUGCUUCGACACGUGGGAGAUAUAGCCGCAUCGUGGGCGUUACAAUACAUCUUCCUUUUUGAAGGCUGAAACAUUCUGGAAGGUGUUCCUUAUAUACUCCUCCG